RNAcentral lists this long non-coding RNA (600 nucleotides) under Monodelphis domestica (gray short-tailed opossum). RNAcentral describes it as "lncRNA (ENSMODG00000044125.1)". The record is from RNAcentral. Lineage: Eukaryota; Metazoa; Chordata; Mammalia; Didelphimorphia; Didelphidae.
CUGUCACUCACCAGCUCUGUGUUCUGGGAAAUGACUUCACCUCCCUCAGCUACAGAUCCUUAAUGAGUAAAAUGAGGAGAAUGAGAGCUACUAUUUUACAAGACUUUAAUUAGGGAACCAAUGAGACAAUUUACAUAAAGCACUUGGAAAAAACUCCAAACAUGAGAUAAUUAUUAACUCUUAUUAUUGCUCUGUCCUGACCAUAGCAUAUCUACAGUACUGAAGUCAGAGCUGAGAGGCCCUUUGAGAAGGGCAAUUGACAGUAUCCAGAGCCAAUCAGCGAGGAGGAAGAAGAGCCUGGAGUCCAUGCCUUAUUGUGGGCUCCUGGCGGAAAGGAAUUGUCUCCCUCUUUCUGUUCGUACCCUGAGCACUUUGGCCAGAUUUUUCACAUGCCCCAGUGAUUCAAGUUAUAAGGCUUGGGUGAACUAUACAGCAGCAUAUUUACUGAAAGAACUGAUGGAUGUGAUUGCUAAGCUGCAGUCAGUGAUCAUGGAAAUCUGAUGAACAGGUUAAGUACUGCAGAACUAAAGACAAAUGGAUUGUCCUGUUGGACUGUUAAACAAGGAAAAAUGAUGGAUGCUCCACAUUAGAGAUGAUGGA